UGAGGGGGGCUGCUCCUAGUACGAGAGGACCGGAGUGGACGCAUCACUGGUGUUCGGGUUGUCAUGCCAAUGGCACUGCCCGGUAGCUAAAUGCGGAAGAGAUAAGUGCUGAAAGCAUCUAAGCACGAAACUUGCCCCGAGAUGAGUUCUCCCUGACUCCUUGAGAGUCCUGAAGGAACGUUGAAGACGACGACGUUGAUAGGCCGGGUGUGUAAGCGCAGCGAUGCGUUGAGCUAACCGGUACUAAUGAGCCGUGAGGCUUAACCUU
This 268-nucleotide ribosomal RNA is filed under the name Escherichia coli. RNAcentral describes it as "partial 23S ribosomal RNA". It matches the Rfam family "Bacterial large subunit ribosomal RNA", at positions 2663 to 2925 of the family's 2925-position model. Lineage: Bacteria; Pseudomonadati; Pseudomonadota; Gammaproteobacteria; Enterobacterales; Enterobacteriaceae. The record is from RNAcentral.